CCCCUGAACAAGGCAGUUAACCCACUUUUUAAAUAUAAUUUCAGUUGUUUGAGAAGACAAAAAUCACCAGGAAAUCAGCUCAAAAUUAUUUUAAUUUAGAAAAUCUGUAACCAAGUAAUCACACGCAUAAAUAGAGGCAUGUGAUUUUUAUCAACGUAAUCAAGGUUUAGUAUAUAUGUUUGGGAUUAUUGCGGUCAAUUUGCAGUGUACUAAUGAUUCAUCCUGAUGAGCCCUUCACAGCUAGACAAAUUUCAAAUUCUCGCUGAAGUGGUUGGACACCAAUAUCGGGACAUCACUGUGUACCUCGUCAGAAUGCCUUCGGGAACCACCUUCUUGCACAGACUGAGAAGGAUGUGAAGGUUUUUGACGAGGAGAAACAGAAGGAGAGCUACCGGGGGAGAAUCAAGAAGGGGAAGUAAAGAAGGGCAAGUACUUUGACAUCUGGGCAAAUUACUUGGGUUUGGAAGAAGGACGAAAGGAAGGCAAGACUUGGGGGAACCUCGCUGCUUUUUCGCUCCUAGCUGGAGUCACCAUCCGUUAAGGGUUACCUCGGUGGAAGCUAACAACCUUCUCCAGUUGGACGGUCGACCACCGAAAGCCCUGAUGCCCUGCACUUCAGUGAAGCCCAUUAGACAAAGACCAUCGACUGUCCGAGCACCCCAGGAGGUAUCCCAUCCACCAGAGCCAGUGAGUUCAGAUCAGUCUGGUUCUGAGUCAGAAGGGUACCAGCCUGAUGUCCUCCAUUACCAACCACUCCAACUUUUCAUGACAUCUGCUACAGCUACUGUUGUCGUCAUUAUCUGCUAAGAAAGUUUUCGUGCUCUAUCAUGCUGGGCACAUAUGUGCGAUACACAGAUUUAACUAACUAAAAACACUAGCACUGCAAACACCACUGAGACUGGCUGCCUGUCGUGAACAAGUGACAGGCAGAACCUCCCACCCACACAGCAACCACCUCCUUUAUAUUCCACACACCAGAAUUCUGUAUUUUAGUUUUUGAUUGCCAUGAGUGUACAAAAAAUCUGUGAAAAAUAUUAGUGCCACAACUGUACCAAAAGAAUAUCAAUGUUUUAUGUAUUAAAAUCUUUAAUAUUGCCA
Molecule: non-coding RNA, 1098 nt
Organism: Oncorhynchus mykiss (rainbow trout)
Lineage: Eukaryota; Metazoa; Chordata; Actinopteri; Salmoniformes; Salmonidae
Source: RefSeq, a predicted model, not a curated record